This 892-nucleotide ribosomal RNA is filed under the name uncultured marine bacterium. RNAcentral's name for it is "bacterial SSU rRNA". It matches the Rfam family "Bacterial small subunit ribosomal RNA", at positions 22 to 904 of the family's 1533-position model. The record is from RNAcentral.
GCUCAGAACGAACGCUAGCGGUGUGGAUUAGGCAUGCAAGUCGUGCGCGAAAGUCUUCGGACGAGUAAAGCGGCGAAAGGGUGAGUAACACGUAACCAACGUACCCCUCAGAUCGGAAUAACCUCUGGAAACGGUGGGUAAUGCCGAAUGGUCCUCCCUGUGGCAUCACGGGGAAGGUAAACGGCGGCUUCGGCUGCUGCUGGGGGAGCGGGUUGCGGCCUAUCAGCUUGUUGGUGGGGUAACGGCCUACCAAGGCGAUGACGGGUAGCGGGUCUGAGAGGAUGGUCCGUCACACUGGGACUGAGACACUGCCCAGACUCCUACGGGAGGCUGCAGUCGAGAAUCUUCCACAAUGGGCGCAAGCCUGAUGGAGCGACACCGCGUGCAGGAUGAAGGCCUUAGGGUUGUAAACUGCUGUCACGCUAUAGGAACCCACGGCAGUGAAUAGUUGUCGUGCUGACUAAAGCGAGAGGAAGCACCGGCUAACUCCGUGCCAGCAGCCGCGGUAAUACGGAGGGUGCAAGCGUUGUUCGGAUUCACUGGGCAUAAAGAGCAUGUAGGCGGCUCGCUCAGUCGGGUGUGAAAGCCCACGGCCCAACCGUGGAACUGCACCCGAUACUGGCGAGCUCGAGGACGGAAGGGGGUGAGUGGAACUCCAGGUGGAACGGUGAAAUGUAUAGAUAUCUGGAGGAACACCGGUGGCGAAAGCGGCUCACUGGUCCGUCUCUGACGCUGAGAUGCGAAAGCCAGGGUAGCGAACGGGAUUAGAUACCCCGGUAGUCCACGCCGUAAACGAUGUCUACUAGCCGUUGGGAAACUUGAUUUCUUANUGGCGCAGCUAACGCACUAAGUAGACCGCCUGGGGAGUACGGGCCGCAAGGUUAAAACUCAA